This 416-nucleotide long non-coding RNA is filed under the name Lathyrus oleraceus (garden pea). RNAcentral's name for it is "Pisum sativum (pea) long non-coding RNA (PSAT_LNC035257)". Lineage: Eukaryota; Viridiplantae; Streptophyta; Magnoliopsida; Fabales; Fabaceae. The record is from RNAcentral.
AUCAUUCCACCUGACCGUUUAAUCUCCUUUUUUUUUCAACAUCUUGAAUGGGUUCACACGUGGCUGUUAGAUGAGAUGUGAACCGUGAAAUGCAGUUCAAUCUACCUAAGAAACCACAAACCUCCUUUUCUGUUCUCGGUUUAGGCAUUUCUUGUAUUACUUUUUCUCUUUUUUUUGUUUUUGUUUUUUUGUUUUUUUUGUUUAGCAGGAUCCACCUCGAUUCCUCUUUCAUUCACAAUAAGCCUCAGCAACUUACCGGACCGCACUCCGCCAGUGCCCUUACUCGAAUUCAACCUCAGUCUGAAUUGUCUCAACUGAUCCAACAACUUGACCAAGUCUACCGAAUGCCCCUCUUCUGCCUGGGACUUUGCUAUCAUGUCAUCAACAUAGCAUUCAAUUUCAUGAUGAAUCAUAUC